This 219-nucleotide ribosomal RNA is filed under the name Triticum aestivum (bread wheat). RNAcentral's name for it is "partial small subunit ribosomal RNA". Lineage: Eukaryota; Viridiplantae; Streptophyta; Magnoliopsida; Poales; Poaceae. The record is from RNAcentral.
AUGAAAGGGGUUUUUUGGAAUUGUAGGGGAGUGGGUAAAAAAGGCAUGUCCACCUGCCUCAUUGACAUGAUAAGUGCCAAUGAAUUGGAUUUUAUUGGACUUCAGGAAACUAUGAAGAAGUCGUAUACUCCUGCUUUCUUUAGGCAAAUUGACCCUUAUCAGAAGUUUCAUUGGGAAUGGAUCCCUUCAAGGGGGAAAUCUGGUGGCAUUCUUUGUGGG